This is a long non-coding RNA of Polyodon spathula (Mississippi paddlefish), 426 nucleotides long. RefSeq lists it as uncharacterized. The transcript is spliced from 2 exons. NCBI's taxonomy places the organism in Eukaryota, Metazoa, Chordata, Actinopteri, Acipenseriformes, Polyodontidae. The record is from RefSeq and is a predicted model, not a curated record.
AGCAGGCAUCAUGUUUUCAAAUUCAAUUCCAUGUUGUGCGUUCUUUCACAUCUGCACAUUUGAAACCUGCACAGCAUGUUGAUGGAAUGAGGUUGUUAGACGCCAACUCUUUCGUUGUCUUUCUCCAGGUUCAUUCUAAUUAGCUUCCCCGGGUGCACGUGAAGGACAACGAGAUGUGACCCAACCCCUUCUCUGGUGGGGUUGGAGCCUGUGAGAAGGACUAUGGCGGGCCUCUGGCUUGUAAGACUGAUAACAGUUGGGUUCUGGAGGGUGUGAUCAUCCCCAUGAGGUGCUGUGGACACCCCCAGCAGCCCAACACCUUCAUCUGCGUCUCUGUCUACGUGGACUGGAUCAAGAAGGUUAUGACCUAACCUCCCCUCCAGGACCUGCCUGCCUAGAGAACAGUGCCUGCUCCUGCUCGUGUCU